RNAcentral lists this long non-coding RNA (4196 nucleotides) under Olea europaea subsp. europaea. The record is from RNAcentral. Lineage: Eukaryota; Viridiplantae; Streptophyta; Magnoliopsida; Lamiales; Oleaceae.
UGACAUAACCAAUCUCAAUUCAUCAUAAUCAUCAAAUUGUCUCAAUUACAUGACAAAUUAGGUUUAAAUAAUAAAACAAAACCCUAAAGAGAAGGGGCCCUCCCGGGGUGGGAGAAAAACUCGACCCCGUUGAGUUGGUAAAUCCCAAGUAUUGCUGUUGAUUUGGUAAAUCCAUGAUUGAUAGUAAUGAAAACUGCAGCUUAUUUUCAAGAAUAUAAUUUGACCAAGAUGAACUGCGCAAAGGAAGGUCUUACUGGCUCCUAUAAAAUUUCAACGAAUUUGGAUCAUGCUGUUGAAGUUUCUUUCUGGGUUCCAUGUACCAUCAGCAUCAAGUCGAUCCACCCAACGAACUACAAAACACUAAACCUCUCUAUCAUUGGUCAACACAACCUGAUCAUCUAAAAUAACAUCAAUCUUAUCUUUGUGUGCUGUGAUAAGUGGUAUUGGAGUGGUUAUAGCAAAAGAUUCGUGUAGGAAUUCUCAUGUGGAUGUAAAAAAUUAUCAUCAGAGGGGUUAAAAUAGCCUUUGUAAGCAAUGAAAUUCUUAACAGUUAAAAUAGCACGGUAGCCAAAAUGUAAUAAAAGAUCGAUGACACGUGUAUUUGAAUCAACAUGCUUUAAAAUAUCAUAAAGACCAGCACUACAGGCUUACAAUAUAACAUAAUCCCCAAUAUUAAAUUUAUAAUUUCACUUAUGCAAAUCAACUUGAAGUUUAUAUACUGCAUUACUUACUCCAAAUUGUUUAAUGAUCUCAAUAUGCAAGUCAUAAAGAUGAUGUACAAAUGUCUCAGUUGACAUAAACACAUUAGCAUGUGGGGAUAUUGGAAUAAGGUCUAAAGGAUUCCUAGACUUAUAACCGUGAGUAACUUUGACGGAACUCAUACCUAUAAAUCGAUUCACAAAUUUGUUAUCUUGGGCAGGUUUCAAGAUGAGAUGGAUCCAACUGAAGUGGAUUCUCUCUCUCUCUUUUGCUCUUAUUCGUCUAUGCAAUUUGAAUUGUUGGAAGAAUCAAAUUUCAAUUCCCAAUAUGUUCCUUGAAAAUGGCAUGAUUACGCAAAUAAUCAAGACCGUUGGGAUGGAUAAGGGUACGACAUACAAUAUUUGACUAAGAGAUUUUGAGAGAAAGGGGUACAACCCCUAGAUUCAUAGGAAAAGUCCGGAUACUACAUAAGGAAGUGUCCUCAAUAUCAUUCAAGUCAUCACAUUCCUCAAGGUUAGGUUCAUAGAUUUGAUAUUCUAACCGAUCAUUCAUUACAUCAUUUUGUUCCUCAAUGAUUAGCGUUCGACUCAGAUGUUUGGGAGAAGUUUAACCAAAGUCCUUACAGUUGAAGCACUGCAAGUGAGAAGAAAUCAUUGGCGCUUCAAAAUCUUGACUCUUAUUUUCCAACAAAGGAAGAGCAUUAGAUGGGAAAGGUACUAAAAGGGACUUAACAGGAGGUGGCGUUGAUUUUGGAGGAACAUUAGACGGAGAAGGCUCUAUGAUAGACUUAUGGCGAGGUGGUGCUGAUGAGAUGAGUGAACGAUGGUGACUACGCUUUUCAUAUGAAGUACUAAUAAGUAACUCGUAGUCCCGAACUAAAGAGUAAGCGUGAUCAAAAGUAGUGACACCUGGAAAAAAAAGUUCACGCCUAAGUUCAUCUGUUAAACCUUGUAUAAAUCUACUCAAAGUUAGGUCUCAAAUUCAACAACAUGACAUUUCAUUCGAAAUUCCUCAAAUUGAGCAAUGUACUCAGUUACUAGCCGAUUUCCUUGUGUAAGGGUGUUCCAUUGGGUAAAAAUUUCAUGAUUUAAGUAACCAUUGAAAGUAGGGGUGUCUAAUUUAACAUCUCUAAAGAAACGCUCCUUAUGACGAGGAAGAGAAUGAGUACCAUGAUGACUAUGGCCUUGUUCUUGCUCACGAACUUGAUCCCUAUCCCUACGAUCAUGCUUACGGUUGUUCAGACUAGCAGCUAGAUCUUUGCUCUUUUCAUGAGUAGCAACCAUCUCAAUUGGAUAGCCGCUAAUUGAGUUUAUAAAUGCUGCUGGCUAGUAGCAAGUUGCCCUAAUUGUCUAGUGAGUGCAUCAAAUUGAGAUGGGUCCAUGGUCAAUGUAUUGGAAAUAGAGGCGACAAGACGACCACUACGCAACUACAUGCAAUGUAAUACCAGCUAAAUGACUUGCAAUGAUGAGAUCAAUGAACAAUAAGUGCAAGCAAUGGAAAAAUAACAACUUGAGCAUUUUAUUUAUUUAGUUAUUAUUAUUUUUUUUUUUUGGAUUAAGUAAAUUCAAAUACGACAAGCUAAUAUUGUUGGUUCAUAUAAAAUAGCAAAGCAAAGAUCAAACACUAGUCAAAUUCUCUAAUCACGUUGAGAAGUGGGGAACAACGGGAGGUCAAUUCGUUUAAUAAUUUUGAUCAGAUGGGGUUUAAGGUUAAAAUUAUUAAGUUAACAGCAAAACAAAGAGUUUAAUUGAUGCAAUUUUAAAAAUGAAGCAGUAGUAUAAACCAAUGAUAAAUGAAAUAGAAUCUUUCUUCACUCGUGGAGACGCUGUAUUGAUUCGUUGAGAUGCCAAGAUAGAAAAUUCUCAUGUUCGUUGAGAUGCGGUAUUGAUCAGUCAAACCAAAAUAUGCCUGCAAAACAAUGUUAGGAAAUUCUUGAUUUUUUUUUGUUUGGUUUCUUUUCUUCUCUCUUUUUUUUGGCUUUUCUUUUUUCUACUCUUUUCUCCCUCUUUUUUCCCCCAAAAACUUCUAACUAAACAGAUGGACCAAAACACGGAUAUAAACGAGGCCCAAAACAAAACUAAAAGUAGAGAAUACAGACUAAGCCCAAACAAACAACUAGGCCUUGGAAAUAACUCCUGAUUUGUUUCUCACAUGAGAUCAAUCCCAAAAUUUGUUGCGUUCUCGUUAGAAAUUGUGUGCAGAGAUAUAGACAGCAGCGGCGGUGCUGAGAGAUGGUUCGUCGAUGGUCGGUCUGGGAAGUAUAGGUUACUGAUGCUGGCGGUUUGUGGGUAAUUCAUUGAGUAAGAAGAGAUAUGGGUCGUCGGCGCUGUGAGAGGUGGGAAGGCAGUGAUUAAAACAGGUGGGUUACUUAUUGGAUUUGGGUUCAAGUAUGGAUUUCUUGUAGACGAAAGGUGGAAUUUCACUUGUGGGCUGUGGAAUGAUGCGAACGAUUCGCGUUAGUGGUGUGGUGACUGGUUUUUUUAGUGAUUUGGUAGCGGACGGAGCUUGAGAGGUAGGGUUGUAUGGUGGUUUGUUGCAAGGGAUUGGAUGAUGUACUGAGUAUACGUCUAUUGUAGUAUUGUAUGUAGAGGGUUAUUUUGUAUAUUGGUGCUGUUGGAAACCUUGGAACAAAUUAAGAAUUCUCCCUUUGUGGAGUUGUCGGGAACUUACAAGGUGAUGACAGGCGGUUGUGACUUGAGCGAUGUGUUUGGCUAUUGGAUGAAAUGAAUAGAGCAAUUGCAGUUACAACUCUAUUUUGUGGAAGGAAACAUGUUUAGCUGGGAUACCAAAUUUGAUGCAGGAUAAAUAAGAAAACAGCAAGAAAGAGGGGAGAAACAGAGAGAAGAGAGGAGAGAAACCAGAGAAGAAGUAGAAAUUAAGGGGAAAAGGGAACAGAAGGAGAUGCCACAACCAAUCUCAAUUCAUCAUAAUCAUCAAACUGUCUCAAUUACAUGGCAAACUAAGUUUAAAUAAUAAAACAAAACUCUAAAGAUAGGGGGCCCAAGUCCACUAAAUAAUAGUCCAAUUAAAAUAAACAAAAUAAAUAAGAGUCCAACUAAAUAAAAAUAAAUCUAGGUAAAUGUCCUCAUUAGUAAGUCAUCCCCAUUAUUUUUCAAUUUAAAUAGAUUUUCUGCUUGAUAAUGGGGUCCGAUCUUUGUUGGUGGGUUGCCAUAAUCUUAGUGGCUUAACUUUGUAUCUGCAGCCUGGGGAGCUAAUGGAUGUUGGUCUGAGUUAUAUUGGACAAUACAGUGCAAAAUUGAGAUGGAUGCUGUUGGGUUUUGCUAGGGAAUCUGAUAAAGGGAUAAUUGAAUUUUCCAAAGGCUGCCCUAGCCUUAGAAAGUUAGAAAUGAGGGGAUGCUAUUUCGAUGAAAGUGCAUUAGCAGCUGCUAUAUAACAACUAACUUUGUUGAAGUAUUUGUGGGUGCAAGGAGACACUACUUCAACAGCUGGUUGGGAAAUAGUACAUUCUUUUGGAUCUUGGUUAGUUUCUACCUUAG